RNAcentral lists this ribosomal RNA (301 nucleotides) under uncultured bacterium. Its description in RNAcentral is "partial 16S ribosomal RNA". It matches the Rfam family "Bacterial small subunit ribosomal RNA", at positions 509 to 808 of the family's 1533-position model. The record is from RNAcentral.
CAGUCGCCGCGGGAAUACGAAGGGUGCAAGCGUUACUCGGAAUUACUGGGCGUAAAGCGUGCGUAGGUGGUGGUUUAAGUCCGUUGUGAAAGCCCUGGGCUCAACCUGGGAAUUGCAGUGGAUACUGGGUCACUAGAGUGUGGUAGAGGAUAGUGGAAUUUCCGGUGUAGCAGUGAAAUGCGUAGAGAUCGGAAGGAACACCUGUGGCGAAAGCGGCUCACUGGACCAUAACUGACGCUGAUGCACGAAAGCUAGGGGAGCAAACAGGAUUAGAUACCCCGUAGUCCCUGUCUCUUAUACC